Jatropha curcas is the source of this 917-nucleotide RNA transcript. RefSeq lists it as uncharacterized. The record is from RefSeq and is a predicted model, not a curated record. Lineage: Eukaryota; Viridiplantae; Streptophyta; Magnoliopsida; Malpighiales; Euphorbiaceae.
AUCUCUCUCCAUAUGAAGAGACACAAAUCCCUUUCCUUUCUCUGUAUAUAUAUGUAUAUAUUCUCAGUUACUGUAAAUUUUCCUAUAAUGGCCAAUGAAGAGGCAAAGAGAAAAAUUAGUACUGAAGGAGGAGGAGGAGAAGCGAAGUGGGUGAAACACUAUUCAUCAAAUCAGAGUAUACUGUUAAUUGGAGAAGGAGAUUUCUCUUUCUAACAUUGUGGCUACUUCUCUUGAUCCAUAUGAUAUUGUGGUUAAGAUGUACAAGAAUGCAAAAUCUAAUCUCCAAAAUCUAUUGAAGUUAGGAGCAACUAUAUUACAUGGAGCGGAUGCAACCAAAAUGAAAUUUCAUCCAGAUUUGAAGAUGCAGAAAUUUGAUAGGAUCAUUUUUAACUUUCCUCAUGCAGGCUUCCAUGGCAAGGAAGAUGAAGUCCAUCUGAUCGAGAUGCAUAGGGAACUUGUGCAAGGCUUCUUCAAGAAUGCAAUUAGCUUGCUGCGACCUUACAGGGGAAAUACAUGUAUCUCACAAAACGACAUCUCCAUUUUGCUACUGGAAAAUUGAGGAACUUGCUUGUAGAAACUUUUUAUCACUAAUCGAGCGUACUGAUUUCAAGAUUCAAGACUAUGCAGGUUAUCAAAACAAGAGAGGACAUGGCAUUAGAUGUGAUGAGCCCUUCGGUUUGGGACACUGCAGUAACUUCAAGUUUGCUAUUAAAAAGUGCUCCAGAGUGAUUAAUCAUUUUAUAGGGCGUAGGCCAUCAUUUCUACAAUUCAGGCACUUCAAUUAUGCUUCUGAAACAUACGACAGGAGAGACUAUGAAAGGUACGUUAAAACACCUCUAAGAAUUAUCAUUAGGAGAAAGGAAAGUGUUAAUGCUUCAAAUGGGUACUCAAGUUGUGGUCCGGACUCAGAAGAAAAA